GAUUUCUGGCAAAUUCGGAUGGCCCGGCUCCUUCUGGGGCUGCGUGCUGUCUCUGAGUCUGCCAUCCUUCCAGAGAGCUGUGCCUACCGCUUCUGCGGCCGGGCGCUGUGAUCUGGAUCUUUUACUUUGAAAAAAUUAGAGUGUUCCAAGCAGGCUUACGCUUUGAAUACAUUAGCAUGGAAUAAUAAUAUAGGACUUUGGACCUAUUUUGUUGGUUUCUAGGACUGAAGUAAUGAUUGAUAGGGAUAGUUGGGGGUGCUAGUAUUCAGCGGCCAGAGGUGAAAUUCUUGGAUUCGCUGAAGACUAACUACUGCGAAAGCAUU
RNAcentral lists this ribosomal RNA (323 nucleotides) under uncultured Paulinella. Its description in RNAcentral is "SSU rRNA". The stretch from base 107 to 323 matches the Rfam family "Eukaryotic small subunit ribosomal RNA", at positions 737 to 955 of the family's 1831-position model. Lineage: Eukaryota; Cercozoa; Imbricatea; Euglyphida. The record is from RNAcentral.